RNAcentral lists this unclassified non-coding RNA (329 nucleotides) under soil metagenome. RNAcentral's name for it is "partial contains 5.8S ribosomal RNA, internal transcribed spacer 2, and large subunit ribosomal RNA". The stretch from base 1 to 120 matches the Rfam family "5.8S ribosomal RNA", at positions 35 to 154 of the family's 154-position model. The record is from RNAcentral.
GAUGAAGAACGCAGCGAAAUGCGAUAAGUAAUGUGAAUUGCAGAAUUCAGUGAAUCAUCGAAUCUUUGAACGCACAUUGCGCCCCUUGGUAUUCUGAGGGGCAUGCCUGUUCGAGCGUCAUUAUAACCCCUCAAGCUCAGCUUGGUGUUGGGGCCUGCUGCACUGGCAGCCCUUAAAAUCAGUGGCGGCGCCAUCUGGCUCUAAGCGUAGUAAUUCUUCUCGCUAUGGAGUCCUGGUGGAUGCUUGCCAUCAACCCCCAAUUUUUCUAUGGUUGACCUCGGAUCAGGUAGGGAUACCCGCUGAACUUAAGCAUAUCAAUAAGCGGAGGA